Non-coding RNA from Mycena leptocephala, 95 nucleotides. The record is from the annotation of a GenBank genome assembly. Lineage: Eukaryota; Fungi; Basidiomycota; Agaricomycetes; Agaricales; Mycenaceae.
GCCUUCAUGGAUCAACGGUAGAUCGUCUCUGAUCAGUUCAUCGUGCUUAGAGUAGACUUUAUGAGAAAGUGCGGGUUCGAAUCCCGCCGAGGGCA